RNAcentral lists this ribosomal RNA (327 nucleotides) under uncultured eukaryote. RNAcentral describes it as "partial 18S ribosomal RNA". It matches the Rfam family "Eukaryotic small subunit ribosomal RNA", at positions 1470 to 1796 of the family's 1831-position model. The record is from RNAcentral.
CCCUUAGAUGUCCUGGGCCGCACGCGCGCUACACUGAUGCAUGCAACGAGUUUAUAACCUUGGCCUGAAAGGUCUGGGUAAUCUUUUGAACGUGCAUCGUGAUAGGGAUAGAUUAUUGCAAUUAUUAAUCAUGAACGAGGAAUUCCUAGUAAACGCAUUUCAUCAAAAUGCAUUGAUUACGUCCCUGCCCUUUGUACACACCGCCCGUCGCACCUACCGAUUGAGUGGUCCGGUGAAGUCUCGAGAUUGUGGCAAUCUCCUUUAUUGGAGUUUGACUGCGAGAACUUGCCUAAACCUUAUCACUUAGAGGAAGGUGAAGUCGUAACA